This 78-nucleotide small RNA is filed under the name Flavobacterium sp. KMS. Its description in RNAcentral is "Flavo-1 RNA". It matches the Rfam family "Flavo-1 RNA". Lineage: Bacteria; Pseudomonadati; Bacteroidota; Flavobacteriia; Flavobacteriales; Flavobacteriaceae. The record is from Rfam by way of RNAcentral.
UUCUAGCCCCGAUUGCCGCGAUAUCCUUUUUUAUUUUUCUUUAAAAUAAAAAAGAUAAAGCAAAAAGCGGGACAAGAG